This 305-nucleotide long non-coding RNA is filed under the name Hordeum vulgare. RNAcentral's name for it is "long non-coding RNA (HVUL_LNC008542)". Lineage: Eukaryota; Viridiplantae; Streptophyta; Magnoliopsida; Poales; Poaceae. The record is from RNAcentral.
CGACUACCGAAGGAAGGAAACAAAGACCAUGCUCAGCUCAGAUGGAGACGCUGUUGGGGAUGCCCAUGGCGGUGAGCCCCAGCGCCUUCUCCCCGUUGGCGUCCGACGUGUUGGGGUACAGCAGCAUGUAGGGCAUCUUCACGGGCCCGUUCCGGUUCUUGAGCGCCGGGUCCUUGUUCAUGUCGAGGAUCCGCUUCUCGAUCUCCACCAGCCGGCUGCCGAACCUCUUGAACGCCUCGAGCGCCUUGGCGUCCGACGUCCACUCCGGCGUGUCGCGCUGCCCCAGGUACACCUCGUCGGAGGAG